CUAGGAUCUGAAAAUAGUUCUUGUGGACUUUCUGAUGUGGUACUUCAUCAGACCAGGGAACACAUCAUACAACUGAAGAAAGAUACAAAGAGUCCUCUGUCCUUCUCCAAAAUAACGUAGAUGUAUGUUGGCGAAUUUCCUUUGCUUCUUCCAUAAGUAACCAUUACUUAAAGCUAUGCCUGCCUUUGAAAAUGACAUGAAAUAGAGGAAUUUCUGGUCGCUCCGUGAAGCUGUCCAGCUGGUUGACAAGAGACUCUUUGACCAUCUUGUAUCCAGAAAUAAACACAAUUUUCUCAGGACCUCUCCGCAAACUGAAGAUAGGG
Long non-coding RNA from Boleophthalmus pectinirostris (great blue-spotted mudskipper), 323 nucleotides. RefSeq lists it as uncharacterized. The record is from RefSeq and is a predicted model, not a curated record. Lineage: Eukaryota; Metazoa; Chordata; Actinopteri; Gobiiformes; Gobiidae. The transcript is spliced from 3 exons.